This is a non-coding RNA of Paramuricea clavata, 466 nucleotides long. NCBI's taxonomy places the organism in Eukaryota, Metazoa, Cnidaria, Anthozoa, Malacalcyonacea, Plexauridae. The record is from the annotation of a GenBank genome assembly.
AACAAGACGCUCUCUCGAGCGUUAAGUUGCUGGGGCUUUUUAAAUAGGCGCCUGCGUGAUUUGCAACGAGCGGUAAGAGUAUAUUCAACGAAUUCCUAGAUCCACUGAAGAAUUCCUGUUAAUACCCAUGAAGAGAGACCCUGGAAGAAUUUCAAUUUUUACAUUUGACCCCUGAGAAAAUCUCAUUCAAAAUAUCCAUUACCGGAUUACCCACAGGCGGCCCAAUCUCAGAAUGAAUGAUCAGGUGUUGCGGGUUUUUAACGGUUUUUAUAAACAAAUUUUAAAUUGUCAACCAAAACUAUUCUAAAAACAUUCUCAAAUUGGUCAAAUAAAUACAUUUUAACAAUAAAAUAUAGUUGACAUGAUAGUAUAAUACCUUUGCAUUCUUUUAAUUAAUACAUGAGCUCAUUUAGAGCGGUUGAUGUAAUAUUUUCUGUGGCCUACAUUGUGUGUGCUCAUCUAUAUA